Molecule: ribosomal RNA, 346 nt
Filed under: uncultured bacterium
Lineage: Bacteria
Description: partial 16S ribosomal RNA
Rfam family: Bacterial small subunit ribosomal RNA
Source: RNAcentral
CCUACGGGAGGCAGCAGUGAGGAAUAUUGGUCAAUGGACGAGAGUCUGAACCAGCCAAGUAGCGUGAAGGAUGACUGCCCGAUGGGUUGUAAACUUCUUGUAUAAAGGAAUAAAACGAGGCACGUGUGCCUGUUUGCAUGUACUUUAUGAAUAAGGAUCGGCUAACUCCGUGCCAGCAGCCGCGGUAAUACGGAGGAUCCGAGCGUUAUCCGGAUUUAUUGGGUUUAAAGGGAGCGUAGAGGGGUGGUUAAGUCAGUUGGGAAAGUUUGCGGCUCAACCGUAAAAUUGCAAUUGAUACUGGCAGUCUUGCGUACAGUUGCGGUCGGCGGAAUUCGUGGUGUAGCGG